GGGCGGGCGGCGGGUCCGCGGCCUGAGGUGCCGUGAGCGGCGGUCGUUCCGCGCCUCCUGAGCGCGGAUAUCGGGGUCCCCAGGAGCCGAUCGGGGUCCCCAGGAGCCGAUCGGGGUCCCCAGGGGCCGAUCGGGGCCCUCGGUCCGUGCCCCGCCGUGGGGCGGGCGGCUGGCGUGGGAGCGUUGAGGCGCAGCGGGGCCUGCGAGGCCGCAGCCCGUGGUGAGAAUGAACAUUCUUCAUGUCUGCAGAGGUUCUCCACCACCACAGGGGCUAGAGGUAAAUAGCCAGAACUCUCCAGAGCAGCAGGCAGAGAGGCAUCAGCAACAUGACCCUUGGGCUUUCUGGAAUUGCAGGGAAACCCUCUUCUCUCCAAGUACCAAGCCAUGUGCCAAGAAUAUUCAGACAGGAUUGCUGCCUCAGGAGCUGCCCAGGUGGGAACUCCAAGUGCCCUGAGCCAGAGCUCAUGUCAAAAGGAGGGGAAAGACUUUGCAAUAGAAUAACAGAAGACUCCACCAACACUUGAAGACAGGGGAGGGUGGAGGGGCAGGGGAAGUGCUCAGCACUGUUCUGCCUCCACAAAGCCCUCCUUCUCCUGGCUGCCUGGCUCCACCUCCGAGUAGCUUGUGUGGUUGGUGUGGUUCCGGAAUUUCAUGGCAGGCCAGUGAUGGGGCCUUCUCUGUGGAGAGAAACAAAGACCCAUCAGAAGCUGGGACAGGGACCUUCACACCACUCCUGCAGGGAGACUGGGAUCUUAGUCCCAAGAGAAAAACAAUGCUGCCUUUGUGGGAGGUCGACUUUUUCUUAAUAAAAAUACAAUUUUAAGUGUUCA
Molecule: long non-coding RNA, 830 nt
Organism: Apus apus (common swift)
Lineage: Eukaryota; Metazoa; Chordata; Aves; Apodiformes; Apodidae
Exons: 4
Source: RefSeq, a predicted model, not a curated record